GACCAUCAGCUAAGGUCCCCAAAUAUAUACUAAGUUGUUUUAACGUUGUGUGAUUACUUUGACAGCUAGGAUGUUGGCUUGGAAGCAGCCAUUCAUUUAAAGAGUGCGUAACAGCUCACUAGUCGAGUGAUCGUGCGUGGAUAAUAAUCGGGCAUAAGUAUAUUACCGAAGCUGUGGAUUUUAUGGUAGGGGAGCAUUCUGUUCUGCGUUGAAGCAGUACUGCGAGGUAUUGUGGAGUGUACAGAAAAGCAAAUGUAGGCAUAAGUAACGAUAAAGCGGGCGAGAAACCCGCUCACCAAUAGACUAAGGUUUCCUCAGCUAUGCUAAUCAGCUGAGGGUUAGUCGGGACCUAACGCGAACCCGAAAGGGGUAGUGGAUGGACAAGCAGUUAAUAUUCUGCUACCUGCUCACGUUAAAAGUGACGGAGGCGAGAAGUUAGUGCGCACUGACGGAAUAGUGCGUUGAAGGGAACAGUAAUGUCCUGAUAGUACAGUAAGGCUACGGCCGCGCUGAUAAUCUAGCAAAUCGACUUCCAAGAAAACCGAGUGAAGCAGCCCGUACCGUAAACCGACACAGGUAGUCAAGGAGAGAAUCCUGAGGUGCUCGAGUGAUUCAUGGUUAAGGAACUAGGCAAAAUAGCCCUGUAACUUCGGGAGAAGGGGCUCCAACUUCGGUUGGACGCAGUGAAAAGACCCAGGCGACUGUUUAUCAAAAACACAUGGCUGUGCGAACGUGAAAGCGGAUGUAUACGGCCUGACACCUGCCCGGUGCUGGAAGGUUAAG
Molecule: ribosomal RNA, 783 nt
Filed under: Kryptoperidinium foliaceum
Lineage: Eukaryota; Dinophyceae; Peridiniales; Kryptoperidiniaceae
Description: partial Bacterial large subunit ribosomal RNA
Rfam family: Bacterial large subunit ribosomal RNA
Source: RNAcentral